RNAcentral lists this ribosomal RNA (962 nucleotides) under uncultured organism. Its description in RNAcentral is "bacterial SSU rRNA". It matches the Rfam family "Bacterial small subunit ribosomal RNA", at positions 470 to 1429 of the family's 1533-position model. The record is from RNAcentral.
UGACGGUACCCUACUAGAAAGGAGCCGCUAACUUCGUGCCAGAAGCGUCGGUAAUACGGGGGCUCCAAGCGUUAUCCGGUGUUAUUGGGCGUAAAGAGUCGUGUAGGUGGUUGGGUAAGUUAUCUUUCAAAUAUCUUUGCUUAACAAAGAGGAGGGGGAUAAUACUGCUCGACUAGAAUUUUCUCAAGGGAGAUCGGAACUGAGGGAGGAGUAGUGAAAUGCGUUGAUACCCUCGGGAACACCAGUGGCGUAGGCGGAUCUCUGGGAGAAGAUUGACACUGAGACACGAAAGCUAGGGGAGCGAAGCAGAUUAGAGACCUGCGUAGUCCUAGCCGUAAACGCAUGCUUGCUAGCUGCAUGAAUCUACCUUCGGGUGGUAUCGUGUGGCGAAGGUAACCCGUUAAGCAAGCCGCCUGGAAAGUACGGCCGCAAGGCUGAAAUUCAAAGGAAUUGGCGGGGAGGCACACAACCAGUGGAACAUGUGGUUUAAUUCGAGACUAACCGAAGAACCUCACCAGGGUUUGACAUGUAGCUGCACGUCUUAAGAAAUUAAGACUCUCUUGAAGGUGCUACACAGGUGCUGCAUGGCUGUCGUCAGCUCGUUCCGUGAGGAGUGCCCUUAAGUGGGACAACGAGCGCAACCCCUAUUACAUGUUAGAAAUGUCAUGUAAGACUGCCUUGCCAUUUGGCGGGGAGGAAGGAGGGGCAGACGUCAAGUCCGCAUGGUCCUUAUGCCCUGGGCUACACACAUGUUACAAUGAGUACGGCAAUGAGUCUGUCGCGAGCACGUAAGUGUAGGCUAAUCUCUUAAAUGUACUCUCAGUGGGGAUUGAGGUCUGCAACUCGACCUCAUGAACACGGAAUUGGUAGUAAUCGCGGGUCAGCUAUACCGCGGUGAAUACGUUCUUGCCUCUUGCACACACCGCCCGUCAAACCAGCAAAGUCGAUUGUAUCCGAACCUC